AUAAGAGGUCCCGCCUGCCCAGUGACAAUUCAGUUUAACGGCCGCGGUAUCCUAACCGUGCAAAGGUAGCGCAAUCACUUGUCUUUUAAAUGAAGACCUGUAUGAAUGGCAUAACGAGGGCUUAACUGUCUCCUUUUUCAAGUCAAUGAAAUUGAUCUCCCCGUGCAGAAGCGGGGAUUCCCACAUAAGACGAGAAGACCCUAUGGAGCUUUAGACACAAGACAGACUUCGUCACUCACCCCAACAAAAGAGUUAAACUAAAAAGACCUGUCCUUAUGUCUUCGGUUGGGGCGACCAUGGGGUAAUAAAAAACCCCCACGUGGAUCGGGAGAUCAGACCUCACCACUCCUCCCAAAACCAAGAGUGACAACUCUAACUAACAGAACCUCUGACCAAAAAUGAUCCGGCAACGCCGAUCAACGAACCAAGUUACCCUAGGGAUAACAGCGCAAUCCUCUUUUAGAGCCCAUAUCGACAAGGGGGUUUACGACCUCGAUGUUGGAUCAGGACAUCCUAAUGGUGCAGCCGCUAUUAAGGGUUCGUUUGUUCAACGAUUAAAGUCCUACGUGAUC
RNAcentral lists this ribosomal RNA (572 nucleotides) under Polynemus dubius (eastern paradise fish). RNAcentral describes it as "partial 16S large subunit ribosomal RNA". It matches the Rfam family "Bacterial large subunit ribosomal RNA", at positions 1845 to 2605 of the family's 2925-position model. The record is from RNAcentral. Lineage: Eukaryota; Metazoa; Chordata; Actinopteri; Polynemidae.